This is a long non-coding RNA of Chenopodium quinoa (quinoa), 1006 nucleotides long. RefSeq lists it as uncharacterized. NCBI's taxonomy places the organism in Eukaryota, Viridiplantae, Streptophyta, Magnoliopsida, Caryophyllales, Amaranthaceae. The record is from RefSeq and is a predicted model, not a curated record. The transcript is spliced from 2 exons.
ACCAUUUUCAGUCAUUGGAUCAAUCAAGAUCUAACGCACAACAUUUACCCAGAUCAAAAUAAUGGCACUAUUGUAAAUUAAUGAACCUUUUAUUGUAUAAUAGAAAUUUUAGAAAAGUUUGUCAGCUCUUUCUCUCUCUAAAAACCGGUACAACUUUUUUCUCACUCUAAAGUUCUCUCCCCAAAUUCAUUCAAAGCUUUCAAAGAAAGAUUCAUCAAAUUAUUCAUUCAAAUUUGCUUGGAACUCACGAAGUUUGUCCGAAUUCUUCAUUAAUUCAAGUGUUCGUCAAUACGUUUGCGAUUUUUGGGAGAACAUAACAGAAUUUUAUUAGCUCACAACAGGAGCAUCAAAAAGAACAGCAGACAUGAAAAUCGCAGGGAGCUCCUGAAUCCAGACUCUCGUACAAUCAAACUCAUUACUAGAUUGGGCAAGCUUAUGUGCCACCCUAUUCCCUUCCCUCCCAACAUGGCUGACAGAAAAAGAAGAACAAGAAUUAGCAAUGCACAAAAUAUCGUUCACAUUCAGACCAAAGGGCGAAAUUUCUCUGAUGUUGUUCUGCAGGUGGGAGUACAGCUUCAGCAAAUCAGUUUCAAGUUCAAUAUUCUACAAGCCUGCCUCAACAACAAUUGUAAGACCAUGUCUAACAUAAGAGAAUCAAGAGCAUCACCACAAACUUGACAAAUAUCAUCACUACAUAUACCCCGUUUAGCUAAAUAGCUCCGAACAGGCACCCCAUUGUGAAGAACGCGCCAACCAAAAAUUUUAACUUUCGGUGGAAUUAUCGCAUGACGCUGAUAACCUAUGUAGGAAUCGAACCUACAUCUCUAUGCAUUUGCAUAGUGCUCUACCACUUGAGCUAAUAGGUUUUAGCAUGCCCAACGAUUAAAUAAUGUACUGUAAUUCAACCCUAUGUUCUAAGCUUUUUUUCAAUUUUCUAAAAAAUGUUCAGAAUAUUUUCUAAAAAAAAAAAAUUCCCUAAUGUUCUAAAUCUAUGUUUUGAGAGUUU